UAGUAACUGGCGAGUGAAGCGGCAACAGCUCAAAUUUGAAAUCUGGCGCUCCCCGUCCGAGUUGUAUUUUUUCGAGAAUGCUUCCUGCGCGGUGCCUUCCGAUUUCCCUGGAACGGGACGCCAUAUAGGGUGAGAGCCCCGUCCGGUCGGUAACCAAGCUCUGUGUAGCACCUUCGACCAUUCUAGUAGUUUGGGAAUGCUGCUCUAAAUGGGAAGUAAACUCCUUCUAAUUCUAAAUAUUGGCCAGAGACCGAUAGCGCACAAUUACAAUGAUCUAAAGAUGAAAAAAGAUUUGAAAAGAGAGUCAAAUAGCACGUGAAAUUGUUGAAAGGUAAGCGCUUGGGACCAGACUUGGGCCUGGUAGUUCGGCCGGCCUUCUGGGCGGUGCUGUCUGCCGGUUCAGGCCGUCGUCAGUUGCCGGUCGGGGAGAAAGACAGUGGGAACGUGGCUCUUCUGAGUGUUAUAGCCCGCUGUUAUGCCUUUCCGGCGACUGAGGUUAGUGCAUCUGCGCAGAUGCUGGCGUAGUGGUCAUCGGCUACCCGUCUUGUAACACGGACCAUGGAGUCAUCCUGGCAUGCGAGUGUUCGGGUGUUAAACCCUUACGCGUAAUGAAAGUGAACGGAGGUGAUAUCUUCGGCACAUCAUCGACCGAUCCUGAUGUUCUCGGAUGGAUUUGAGUAAGAGCAUGUCUGGCUGGUCGCAACAGAACGUUAGCUAUGCUUGCAUAGGGCAAAGUCAGAGGAAACUCUGGUGGAAGCUCGCAGCGUGUUCUGACGUGCAAAUCGAUCGUCAAAUUUGAGUA
This 802-nucleotide ribosomal RNA is filed under the name Helvella subglabra. Its description in RNAcentral is "LSU rRNA". It matches the Rfam family "Eukaryotic large subunit ribosomal RNA", at positions 81 to 917 of the family's 3401-position model. Lineage: Eukaryota; Fungi; Ascomycota; Pezizomycetes; Pezizales; Helvellaceae. The record is from RNAcentral.